Molecule: transfer-messenger RNA, 403 nt
Filed under: Pseudomonadota bacterium
Lineage: Bacteria; Pseudomonadati; Pseudomonadota
Description: Proteobacteria bacterium transfer-messenger RNA
Rfam family: transfer-messenger RNA
About the family: Bacterial tmRNA, also known as 10Sa RNA or SsrA, is named for its dual tRNA and mRNA-like properties. Its role is to liberate the mRNA from a stalled ribosome. To accomplish this part of the tmRNA is used as a reading frame that ends in a translation stop signal.
Source: RNAcentral
GGGGGCGACCUGGCUUCGACAGGGGUUGCAAAGCAGCGCAGGGCAUACCGAGGGCUGGUCACCUCGUAAAUCCAACCGGAAAUGCUUAAAUGCAAACGAAGAUAUGUACGCAACGGCUGCUGCCGCCUAAUUGGCAUAAGCUAAUGUGUAUACCCCUAGUGGCUUAAUAACCCGCUAGCUCUGCACCAUCAGGUCUCUGGGGUGGGUUGGCAACAACGGCAGAGUCAUUUACAGGGAAUCGCGACAUGUCGGGUUACUUGGCAUGAAGUUAAAUUUAGGUGACUCGUCCAGCCGCAGCGUGCCUGUCCGCGGCGUCUGGGUUAAAACAAAUGGCAAGGCUAAGUAUGUAGAACUGUCUGUAGAGUACUUCUGGACGCGGGUUCGAUUCCCGCCGCCUCCACCA